Molecule: transfer RNA, 73 nt
Filed under: Clostridium sp. AM16-23
Lineage: Bacteria; Bacillati; Bacillota; Clostridia; Eubacteriales; Clostridiaceae
Description: tRNA-Val
Rfam family: tRNA
About the family: Transfer RNA (tRNA) molecules are approximately 80 nucleotides in length.
Source: RNAcentral
GGUAUCUUAGCUCAGCUGGGAGAGCAUCUGCCUUACAAGCAGAGGGUCAUAGGUUCGAGCCCUAUAGGUCCCA